CAAUCAUAUCAUGUUGAAACACCAGUCCUCUUGUACAAUCACUGAAGUUAAGCAACGUCAAGCCUGGUCAGUACAUAGAUGGGUGACCACUUGGGAAUACCCGGUAG
RNAcentral lists this ribosomal RNA (107 nucleotides) under Acanthosepion pharaonis. The record is from RNAcentral. Lineage: Eukaryota; Metazoa; Mollusca; Cephalopoda; Sepiida; Sepiidae.